Capra hircus (goat) is the source of this 1598-nucleotide RNA transcript. It is a transcript of the gene named tropomyosin alpha-3 chain pseudogene, with no coding region annotated. NCBI's taxonomy places the organism in Eukaryota, Metazoa, Chordata, Mammalia, Artiodactyla, Bovidae. The record is from RefSeq and is a predicted model, not a curated record. The transcript has a single exon.
GCGGCAGCAAGGAGCGCAGUAGCCCGCCUCUCCCACCGCAGCCCGCCCGCUUGCCGGCCCGCCGCCACCCGGCGCGAUGGCGGGGAGCAGCUCGCUGGAGGCGGUGCGGAGGAAGAUUCGGAGCCUGCAGGAGCAGGCGGCCGCCGCGGAGGAGCGCGCGGGCAGCCUGCAGCGCGAACUGGACUACGAGAGGAAGCUGAGGGAGACCGCUGAAGCCGACGUAGCUUUUCUAAACAGACGCAUCCAGCUGGUUGAGGAAGAGUUGGAUCGUGCCCAGGAGCGUCUGGCAACAGCUCUGCAGAAGCUGGAGGAGGCCGAGAAGGCAGCAGAUGAAAGUGAGAGUGGCAUGAAAGUCAUUGAGAGCCGAGCCCAAAAGGAUGAGGAGAAAAUGGAGAUUCAGGAGAUCCAGCUGAAAGAGGCCAAGCACAUUGCUGAGGAUGCCGACCGCAAGUAUGAAGAGGUGGCCCGUAAGCUGGUCAUCAUUGAGAGUGACCUGGAGCGUGCAGAGGAGCGGGCUGAGCUCUCAGAAGGCCAAGUUCGACAGCUGGAAGAACAAUUAAGAAUAAUGGAUCAGACCUUGAAAGCAUUAAUGGCUGCAGAGGAUAAGUACUCACAGAAGGAAGACAAAUAUGAGGAAGAGAUCAAGGUCCUUUCUGACAAGCUGAAGGAGGCUGAGACUCGGGCUGAGUUUGCAGAGAGGUCAGUAACUAAAUUGGAGAAAAGCAUUGAUGACUUGGAAGAGAAAGUGGCUCAUGCCAAAGAAGAAAACCUUAGUAUGCACCAGAUGCUGGAUCAGACUUUACUGGAGUUAAACAACAUGUGAAAACCUCCUUAGCUGCGACCACAUUCUUUCAUGUUGUUUUUAUUUUUUUGUUUCGUUUUGUUUUCAAACACCAUGCUUACCAUAAAACCCCUUAAUGCAUUUUUUGUUUACUUUUACCACUGUCACAGAAACAUCCACAAGAUUCCCAGCUAGAUUGGGGGUGGGGAAGACACACACACACACACACACACACACACACACACACACACACACACAGAGGCAAGCCCGUGUUCAAGGUGACAAUGAUUUAAAUGUGCCAUUUCCCGAGUUGACAUUGCCACACCGUAGAGAGUUUAGCAACACAGUAUGCUUAGUCAGUCCAGGAAUCCUUGAGGAAGCAGAAAGAUUUCCACUCAAACUGCCAAUGACCAGGAAGGGUAACGUUUGAAACACAAUCGGGUGUGGAUUGGUGCUACUUUAAACAAAAGGUCCCACUGUGGUCUCUCCUUAAAUAUUGUAUGAUUUACAAGUCUGUCCAACACUAAUUUAUUUUGUCAUGAGUUUUACAAUGAGGUGAGACUGUGGAUCGUGUCUGCCAGAAUUCACUAAAGCCGAAGCUUUGUAAGCCACCGUGCUCUUCUAAUUGGCACAUUUGCAGCUUGUUACAACUUGUGGGAUAGCAUGCAAUGUGGAUUUCCAGCAUGUUCAAGUGAAAGAUGUGGGCACCACAUACAAUUGUGAAGAAAACACAUUGUCUUAAGAGUUAUAACUGUAUGAAACCUUGUACAAUGAUAUGGAAUAAAUGCACAUUGUAGGACAUUUUCUAAAAAAAAAA